UGAGGAAUAUUGGUCAAUGGGCGGAAGCCUGAACCAGCCAUCCCGCGUGGAGGAAGACGGCCCUAUGGGUUGUAAACUUCUUUUCAAGGGGAAGAAAGUUCGCGACGUGUCGCGAUUUGCCGGUACCUUUGGAAUAAGCAUCGGCUAACUCCGUGCCAGCAGCCGCGGUAAUACGGAGGAUGCGAGCGUUAUCCGGAUUUAUUGGGUUUAAAGGGUGCGUAGGCCGAUCGAUAAGUCAGCGGUGAAAUACCAUGGCCCAACCAUGGAACUGCCGUUGAUACUGUCGGUCUUGAAUAUGGUCAAGGUAGGCGGAAUGUGUAAUGUAGCGGUGAAAUGCUUAGAUAUUACACAGAACACCGAUAGCGAAGGCAGCUUGCUGGGCCGUUACUGACGCUGAUGCACGAAAGCGUGGGGAUCGAACA
This 422-nucleotide ribosomal RNA is filed under the name uncultured prokaryote. RNAcentral's name for it is "bacterial SSU rRNA". It matches the Rfam family "Bacterial small subunit ribosomal RNA", at positions 355 to 774 of the family's 1533-position model. The record is from RNAcentral.